Molecule: ribosomal RNA, 445 nt
Filed under: uncultured bacterium
Lineage: Bacteria
Description: partial 16S ribosomal RNA
Rfam family: Bacterial small subunit ribosomal RNA
Source: RNAcentral
GUGAGGAAUAUUGGUCAAUGGGCGGAAGCCUGAACCAGCCAAGUCGCGUGAAGGAAGAAGGAUCUAUGGUUCGUAAACUUCUUUUGCAGGGGAAUAAAGUGCAGGACGUGUCCUGUUUUGUAUGUACCCUGAGAAUAAGGAUCGGCUAACUCCGUGCCAGCAGCCGCGGUAAUACGGAGGAUCCGAGCGUUAUCCGGAUUUAUUGGGUUUAAAGGGUGCGUAGGUGGUUUGAUAAGUCAGCGGUGAAAGUUUGCAGCUUAACUGUAAAAAUGCCGUUGAAACUGUCGGACUUGAGUGUAAAUGAGGUAGGCGGAAUGCGUGGUGUAGCGGUGAAAUGCAUAGAUAUCACGCAGAACUCCGAUUGCGAAGGCAGCUUACUAAGCUACAACUGACACUGAAGCACGAAAGCGUGGGUAUCAAACAGGAUUAGAUACCCGGGUAGUCC